UGAGGAAUAUUGGUCAAUGGGCGAGAGCCUGAACCAGCCAAGUAGCGUGAAGGAUGAAGGUCCCUACGGAUUGUAAACUUCUUUUAUACGGGAAUAAAGUUUCCCACGUGUAGCCAUUUUGUAUGUACCGUAUGAAUAAGC
RNAcentral lists this ribosomal RNA (141 nucleotides) under uncultured bacterium. Its description in RNAcentral is "partial 16S rRNA". It matches the Rfam family "Bacterial small subunit ribosomal RNA", at positions 355 to 491 of the family's 1533-position model. The record is from RNAcentral.